Molecule: ribosomal RNA, 789 nt
Filed under: uncultured bacterium
Lineage: Bacteria
Description: bacterial SSU rRNA
Rfam family: Bacterial small subunit ribosomal RNA
Source: RNAcentral
AGAGUUUGAUCAUGGCUCAGGAUGAACGCUAGCGGCAGGCUUAAUACAUGCAAGUCGAGGGGUAACAGGUCCUUCGGGAUGCUGACGACCGGCAAACGGGUGAGUAACACGUAUGCAAUCUACCUCUAACUGGGGCACAACUUCGGGAAACUGGAGCUAAUUCCCCAUAGUAUUUCGAAAUCGCAUGGUUUUGAAAUUAAAAUUCCGAUGGUUAGAGAUGAGCGUGCGUCCGAUUAGAUUGUUGGCGGGGUAACGGCCCACCAAGUCUUCGAUCGGUAGCUGAUGUGAGAGCAUGAUCAGCCACACGGGCACUGAGACACGGGCCCGACUCCUACGGGAGGCAGCAGUAGGGAAUAUUGGGCAAUGGAGGCAACUCUGACCCAGCCAUGCCGCGUGAAGGAUGAAUGUCCUAUGGAUUGUAAACUUCUUUUAUCAGGGAAGAAACACCCGCAUUUAUGUGGGACUGACGGUACCUGAUGAAUAAGCACCGGCUAACUCCGUGCCAGCAGCCGCGGUAAUACGGAGGGUGCAAGCGUUAUCCGGAUUCACUGGGUUUAAAGGGUGCGUAGGCGGAUUAAUAAGUCAGUGGUGAAAGCCCCGGGCUCAACUUGGGAAUUGCCAUUGAUACUGUUAGUCUUGAGUUCGGUUGAGGUAGGCGGAAUGUUGCAUAGCGGUGAAAUGCUUAGAUAUGCAACAGAACACCGAUUGCGAAGGCAGCUUACCAAGCCGAAACUGACGCUGAUGCACGAAAGCGUGGGGAUCAAACAGGAUUAGAUACCCUAGUAGUCC